GAUGAACGCUGGCGGCGUGCCUAAUACAUGCAAGUCGAGCGAAUGGAUUAGGAGCUUGCUCUUAUGAAGUUAGCGGCGGACGGGUGAGUAACACGUGGGUAACCUGCCCAUAAGACUGGGAUAACUCCGGGAAACCGGGGCUAAUACCGGAUAACAUUUUGAACCGCAUGGUUCGAAAUUGAAAGGCGGCUUCGGCUGUCACUUAUGGAUGGACCCGCGUCGCAUUAGCUAGUUGGUGGGGUAACGGCUCACCAAGGCAACGAUGCGUAGCCGACCUGAGAGGGUGAUCGGCCACACUGGGACUGAGACACGGCCCAGACUCCUACGGGUGGCAGCAGUAGGGAAUCUUCCGCAAUGGACGAAAGUCUGACGGAGCAACGCCGCGUGAGUGAUGAAGGCUUUCGGGUCGUAAAACUCUGCUGUUAGGGAAGAACAAGUGCUAGUUGAAUAAGCUGGCACCUUGACGGUACCUAACCAGAAAGCCACGGCUAACUACGUGCCAGCCACCGCGGUAA
RNAcentral lists this ribosomal RNA (515 nucleotides) under uncultured bacterium. RNAcentral's name for it is "partial 16S ribosomal RNA". It matches the Rfam family "Bacterial small subunit ribosomal RNA", at positions 28 to 523 of the family's 1533-position model. The record is from RNAcentral.